AUGCUCAGAAUAACUUCCUGCAGCGACCAACAGGCUAAAGAGGGGGAAGUUCUGGAGGGAUCCAGCACCGGCUCCUCCUCCGGCAACCACGGUGGGAGCGGCGGAGGAAAUGGACAUAAACCCGGGUGUGAAAAGCCAGGGAAUGAAGCCCGCGGGACCGGCGAAUCUGGGAUUCAGGGGCAAGGGUCCAGCUGGGGCAGUGGAGGAGGUGACGCUGUUGGUGGAGUCAAUACUGUGAACUCUGAGACGUCUCCUGGGAUGUUUAACUUUGACACUUUCUGGAAGAAUUUUAAAUCCAAGCUGGGUUUCAUUAACUGGGAUGCCAUAAACAAGAACCAGGUCCCGCCCCCCAGCACCCGAGCCCUCCUCUACUUCAGCCGACUCUGGGAGGAUUUCAAACAGAACACUCCUUUCCUCAACUGGAAAGCAAUUAUUGAGGGUGCAGACGCAUCAUCACUGCAGAAACGUGCAGGCAGAGCCGAUCAGGUGAGUCUCUGUCCUCAGGUUCCCCUGCAGGGCCCUUGGUCCCCCUUGGCCUUGCUCCCGGGUCUGGGCAAUCUGAAAUUCUCUUUCACCCUUCCAUUCAAUGGCUCUCUCAGCCGGGUGCAGGAUGGCAGGAGGUGGCAGCUGUAACUUCCAAGGUGAGACAUCUACCACGGACCCGCUGGGUUAGGUCCUGGCACUUCUUUUCUUGGUCUCCUACCCUCACCUCCCAAGUAACACUUGAAGAGUUGGGAGAGGUCUUGAGGGC
This 751-nucleotide small RNA is filed under the name Pongo abelii (Sumatran orangutan). RNAcentral describes it as "retained intron". The record is from RNAcentral. Lineage: Eukaryota; Metazoa; Chordata; Mammalia; Primates; Hominidae.